RNAcentral lists this ribosomal RNA (851 nucleotides) under uncultured fungus. RNAcentral's name for it is "eukaryotic LSU rRNA". The stretch from base 245 to 398 matches the Rfam family "5.8S ribosomal RNA". The record is from RNAcentral. Lineage: Eukaryota; Fungi.
CGCUUUUCCGUAGUACGUUAUCGAACCCCCAAACCCCGAAACCCUACAGACCGUAUGCUAACUCGCUAUCUCUAGGUGAACCUGCGGAAGGAUCAUUAAUAGAAAAGGAAAGGCGGGCCCCUCCCCUGGGAGGAUGCCCGACUAUGUUCUAAACCCCCUGUCUACCGACCUCACAAACCCCAAGUACAAACAAUCAAAAGUCGUCCCUAGCGGGGCGCGCUAUAUUAAAUGUACAAAGAAACAAAACUUUCAACAACGGAUCUCUUGGUUCUGGCAUCGAUGAAGAACGCAGCGAAAUGCGAUAAGUAAUGUGAAUUGCAGAAUUCAGUGAAUCAUCGAAUCUUUGAACGCACAUUGCGCCCCUCGGCAUUCCGGGGGGCAUGCCUGUUCGAGCGUCAUUACACCACUCAAGCCUGGCUUGGUAUUGGGCGACGGGGACUCCCCGCGCCUCCAUGUCACCGGCGGACGACCCGUAUCUCAGCGUUGUGGCACAAAUUCGCUGGCGAGAGGGGGGCGGUCCGGCCGUUAAAACUCAUCUCAGGUUGACCUCGGAUCAGGCUGGGAUACCCGCUGAACUUAAGCAUUAAAAGGGGGAGAGAGAAAAAAUUAUCACCCCUCAACUCCGGCUUGAUGUUGGGCUUUUAAGGCGGUUUUAACCAACCAGCCGGGCCUCAAAAAUUAGUGACGGCGCCCCAGAUGGAAUCGGUACGAGGGAGCUUUUAUUCGAGGAUGUACGCGGCGUGAAUCUGCGGGGCGGACGGUCUUUAACCACUACUCCUCGGAGAAUUUUCUAGUGUUGACUUCGGCAUCAGGGUAGGGAUACCCGCUGGACUUAACUCGACAUGAGGGGA